This 340-nucleotide ribosomal RNA is filed under the name uncultured Thermovirga sp. RNAcentral's name for it is "bacterial SSU rRNA". It matches the Rfam family "Bacterial small subunit ribosomal RNA", at positions 1042 to 1382 of the family's 1533-position model. Lineage: Bacteria; Thermotogati; Synergistota; Synergistia; Synergistales; Thermovirgaceae. The record is from RNAcentral.
UGCAUGGCUGUCGUCAGCUCGUGUCGCGAGAUGUUGGGUUAAGUCCGCACGAGCGCAACCCCUGCAUCCAGUUGCCAUCGGGCGAGCCGGGCACUCUGGAGGGACUGCCGGCGACAAGCCGGAGGAAGGUGGGGAUGACGUCAAGUCAUCAUGGCCCUUAUGUCCAGGGCGACACACGUGCUACAAUGGCCGGCACAGCGGGAAGCGGAGGGGCGACCCUGAGCGGAUCCCUUGAAAGCCGGUCCCAGUUCGGAUUGCAGUCUGCAACUCGACUGCAUGAAGUUGGAAUCGCUAGUAAUCGCGGAUCAGCCAAGCCGCGGUGAAUACGUUCCCGGGCCUU